Molecule: long non-coding RNA, 2905 nt
Organism: Xiphophorus couchianus (Monterrey platyfish)
Lineage: Eukaryota; Metazoa; Chordata; Actinopteri; Cyprinodontiformes; Poeciliidae
Exons: 4
Source: RefSeq, a predicted model, not a curated record
UGGAUAGAAAUAUGACGCCGUUUCGACCUGAGCGUUUCAAAGGCCCGGUUCGACCAGGCCGCACCGAGACACUGAACCAGCUUUCUGAUAUUCAUCCGCCCUGGAACCCGGAUUUAAAAAUCUCCUUUUCUCCCAAGACGCCGAAAUGGACGCCCAGCCUAAAAAACUACAAACUUCUGCGGAUUCACCUGAAAUCGUCUCGGUGUUGAUUGGGCCUCCUAGUCUGGCGCCUAAACACACCUGCUGAGAAUCAGGUGGAGUGGGCGAACAGGCCGCGGGACCGCCAUGUUUGAAAUCGCUGCGUUUGUUACAAGCAGCAGAGGACGGACCCGGCCAUGGCGUCUCAGCGGUGGUUUGUCUGGCUGCUGAUGAGGACAAGCAGGCCGCGGGGCCGCCAUCUUUAAAAUCGCUGCGUUUGUUACAAGAGCAGCAGAAGGCCACCCGACCACGGCAUCGCAGCGAUGGUUUGUUUGGGUGCUGGCGUCCCUGAAAUAUGGGGGAAAAAUGGCGUCUGGAGCCAGCAGUUGAUCGAUUAUGGAUAAACUACAAUCAAGCUGAGGAUUCCCUGCAAGGUGCCUGGCGGAUCCGCCCAACCCAUCAAAGGUUUGUUAAGUCAAAGAACUGUUCCAAUGGCGGGUCCAGAAGACAUCUCAAAGUAAGAGCUGCUGCUGGGUUUGAUGCUGAAGCGUUUGGCUAUGCUGGUUUGUUUUGAUUCUCUGCUGAGAAUCUAUGCGCUGAGAAGGAUUCUGCUGUUGAAAAUCCUUCUGUCUUGGGUCUUUUUGCUGUUUACUGCGGUGGUCAUGUGACCUGGGAAGGUUUAGGUGUAACUAGCAUGUUGGAAUCUGAAGUUCAUGGCUGAAAGUCAGUUGUGAUGUGAAAGAUGGCUGCCAAAGAUAUGGCAACAUUUUAGAGGAUGCAGGAAGUGAUUCAGCUUAGGCAUAAUAAAUAACACCAUCAUAAUCCUUGAUAACAUACCUGCAUAUUAUUAGUAAUAAUUUAAUGUGGCUAUGUUGACAUUAAUAUAAUUAUCUUUUCUGUGAAUAUUAUCAAAUAUACUUUUGGGUGAAAAUAAGGUCUUUUACAUUUCUACAUACAUUGUUUUUAUUUUUUGUAUCUACUUAAUAUUUAGUUUGAAAUCUAAUCUAAAUAUUCUUAAAACGGCGUCCAUACUGUAAUAAUCUAAUAGCUCAACAAAUUUUAUUCGCGUUCAACAACAAUGUAAACGUGAAAAUCGAUUUAUUUCUGCGUCGACUCGGCGGACAGAUUCAUUUCAUUUCGUCUGGACUGCGACGGUCAACAGAGAUCUGCUGGAGCUGCAGGUCAGAGGUCAGAGGUGAGGUUUACACAGUCUAAUCCACCACCUCUAAUUUGCAGGUUUAAAUCUGAGAUUAACUCAGGUUUCCUUCCAGAGAUGAUCCAGUUGGACCCGUCUUUCAGUGUUAAGUUUGUUUUUAACCCAGUUUUCCUCCUAGACUAAGCUGCUGGAUGACCUGUUGGUUCACCAACCGUUUCUUUUCUCCCUUUAGCUUUUAAAAUCACACAAACUGUUUCUCUUUAGAUGAAGCCACCAGAGGACCUUCUGCUGCAGCCAACUCUUUUCUCCUAUAGGAUCACUCCUGGAUCCUCUUUUUCUUUUUCUGUCUUUCUCUUUAUUCUAUCUUUUCAAUCCCCGGGGGUCGUGACAGAUGGCCUUUCUUAUAGAGCCAACUUCUGGUUCUGCUGGAGGGUUCUUCCUGUUAAAGGGAAGAUUUUCCUCUCCACUGUCACUGCAUGCAUCCUCAAUAUGAGGUAUUGCUUUAGCUUACUCAACUUUUAACCAAUGUUUGAUAACUGCAGUUUUCUUUUUAAAUUUUCUUUGUUUUUUUGAAAGUCUUCUUGUUAAAGGGAUGCUUGUCUUCUCCACUGUCACCACUUGAAUCCUCGAUGUGUCUUACGGUGACGGAGACUGGUUUUGAGCUCAUGGUUGAGAGUUUAAGGUCUUGUCAACACCACAUGGAUGUGGACUGAGGGGAUUUAGAAGCCAGUCAGCAGUUUUUGUUGAGAUGGAGACUGGAAACACCAAAUGGCCUCAGACUGGUAGUUAAUGUUGGUAUCAAGAUGGGCACUAUGGUAUUGGACUCUGAACCCAACAAAAGGAAAUGUUGCGUGCUACUUCUUGAAGCCACUUGUCAAGGCUUUGAAGUUGCCGGAUGAGUUAAAGGAAAUUGGUAACAAAGGAAUACAACGAAACGGUAAAUCCAUUCCCUGCAGGAAAAACACGGUAGGUUAUAUGAGAGGAAGAUGUUCUGAUCUUGGGUACAGCAACCAGAACAGAUCUUAUAUUCUGUAGUCUGUGAUCAAAUAUGUGUAAUUCAUUCUAAAAGGUCACCUAUUGAAAGUCAAGAACAAAGUGUAAAGGUGUGUGAACAACCGCAGGAUGACGGAAGGAUAAUACCCAGUCUAAAGACCUUCAUCUCCCCUUCUCUGAUGGCUGACCUUAGUGACCCUACCGUCGGGCUCAGCAGUUUUCCUCAAGAAAUGCUACAGAAUCCUUCUCGAUCAUCUUGUUUUCGUCUCUGGCUUCACCCUUCAUCGCCUCCCAAGGAUGGACGGACGGACGGAAAAGCCCUUCAUCGCCUCCCAAGGAUGGACGGACGGACGGACGAAAAAGCCCAUCAUCGCCUCCCACUGAUGGAUGACCUCAGUGACCCCAUCACCAGACUCGGCAGGUUUCCUGGAAGAAACCCUAGAAGUGUUCCCAGAUGAGCAGGUAAGGCAGAUGCUCCCUGAUCCGGUUCUUCCCGAUCAUCUUGUUUUCGUCACUGAUUUCACCCUUCAUCACCUCCCAAGGAUGGACGGAUGGAUGGAAAAGCCCUUCAUCGCCUCCCAAGGAUGGACGGACGGAUGGAAAAGCCCUUCAUCGCCU